UGCAGAAUCCUGUGAACCAUCGAGUCUUUGAACGCAAGUUGCGCCCGAAGCCUUUAGGCCGAGGGCACGCCUGCCUGGGCGUCA
Molecule: ribosomal RNA, 84 nt
Filed under: Crataegus suksdorfii
Lineage: Eukaryota; Viridiplantae; Streptophyta; Magnoliopsida; Rosales; Rosaceae
Description: partial 5.8S ribosomal RNA
Rfam family: 5.8S ribosomal RNA
About the family: 5.8S ribosomal RNA (5.8S rRNA) is a component of the large subunit of the eukaryotic ribosome. It is transcribed by RNA polymerase I as part of the 45S precursor that also contains 18S and 28S rRNA.
Source: RNAcentral